GAUCAACCCUUGAUGGGCACACCGCUUAUACUGGGAACGCAACUUCUCUACAAAGAAUAAAAUAGAGUGGGUGACCUUAACAAGUUCAGUAAAUGCCUAGAACAACCAUUAUUCAAACAAGUCGUCAUCCAUCAACCAAACAACAUACAACAUAUUCCCAAAACGUAAUUAACUAAGUGUCAUAAUUCAUAUAUUUAGUCAUAUUCCAUGCAUUCUUUUACACUCUAUUUAUACGAACGUUUAGGCAUACAUAUAUACAUUUUGACACAUAUCAAUCACAUAUAAGCACAUA
Molecule: long non-coding RNA, 292 nt
Filed under: Gossypium barbadense (sea-island cotton)
Lineage: Eukaryota; Viridiplantae; Streptophyta; Magnoliopsida; Malvales; Malvaceae
Description: long non-coding RNA (GBAR_LNC018378)
Source: RNAcentral